AGGCAGUACACACAGGUACAGACAAUACACACUGGUACAGGCAGUACAGACAGUACACACAGGUACAGACAGUACAGACAGGUACAGACAGGUACAGACAGGUACACACAGGUACAAACAGUACAGACAGGUACACAUAGGUACAGACAGUACAGACAGGUAGAGACAAGUACAGACAGGUACAGACAGUACAGACAAUACACACUGGUACAGGCAGUACACACUGGUACAGGCAGUACACACAGGUACAGACAGUACACACAGGUACAGACAGGUACAAACAGGUACACACAAGUACAGACAGUACACACAAUUACAGACAGUACAGACAGUACAGACAGGUAGAGACAGUACAGACAAUACACACUGGUACAGGCAGUACACACAGG
This is a long non-coding RNA of Astatotilapia calliptera (eastern happy), 389 nucleotides long. The record is from Ensembl. Lineage: Eukaryota; Metazoa; Chordata; Actinopteri; Cichliformes; Cichlidae.